ACCAUAUUCUGUAGCCCACUUGUUGAAAAUGAUGUGGCGGAUGACGCCGGUGCGGGGGGCGGGGGCGCGUAGGCUCUGGUGGCCCUGGGAUGGGCAACCGCGGUGGCUUCCGCGGAGGUUUCGGUAGUGGCAUCUGGGACCGUGGUCGUGGCCGUGGACAGGGCCGGGCCGAGGCUGAGGAGCUCGCAGAGGCAAGGCGAGGAUAGGGAGUGGAUGCCCGUCACCAAUCUGGGCCGCUUGGUCAAGGACAUGAAGAUCAAGUCCCUGGAGGAGAUCUCUUUCUUCUCCCUGCCCCAUUAAGGAAUCUGAAAUCAUUGACUUUUUCCUGGGGGCCUCUCUCGAGGACGAGGUUUUGAAGAUAAUGCCGGUGCAGAAGCAGACCCAUGCUGGCCAGCGCACAGGUUCAAGGCGUUUGUUGCUAUUGGGGACUACAAUGGCCACGUAGGCCUGGGUGUUAAGUGCUCCAAGGAGGUGGCCACCGCCAUCCGUGGGGCUAUCAUCCUGCCCAAGCUCUCCAUUGUCCCCGUGCACAGAGGCUACUGGGGGAACAAGACUGGCAAGCCCCACACCGUCCCUUGCAAGGUGACAGGCCUCUGUGGCUCUGUGCUGGCGCGCCUCAUCCCUUAACCCAGGGGCACUGGCAUCGUCUCCGCAUCUGUGCCCAAGAAGCUGCUCAUGAUGGCUGGUACUGAUGACUGCUACACCUCAGCCCGGGGCUGCACUGCCACCCUGGGCAACUUCGCCAAGGCCACCUUGAUGCCAUCUCUAAGACCUACAGCUACCUGACCCCCGACCUCUGGAAGGAGACUAUAUUUACCAAGUCUCCCUAUCAGGAAUUCACUGACCACCUCGUCAAGACCCACACCAGAGUCUCCGUGCAGCGGACUCAGGCUCCAGCUGUGGCUACAACACAGGGUUUUUAUACAAGAAAAAUAAAGUGAGUUAAGCCUGAAAAAAAAAAAAAAAAGAAAAUGAUGGGACUUAGAGAUAGAUAUCACAUCAAUCAUUGAACUGUCCUAAUGAUUCACCUAGGUAUGAGCAGAUUUUGGCUGCAAGUUGUAAUGGAAAGCGCAC
Molecule: long non-coding RNA, 1074 nt
Filed under: Homo sapiens (human)
Lineage: Eukaryota; Metazoa; Chordata; Mammalia; Primates; Hominidae
Description: HSALNT0322289
Source: RNAcentral